UGUUAACUGCCCGUUGGAAUGAAGCAACAGCGAAUCGGUAGUCGCUCUCGCGUAGUGUUUGGUGAUUUCAGAUUCCACGUGGUCUUUUGACGUCUUGACGUCUUGUGUGUCUUGUUCAAUCUCAAUGUCUGCAAAGGAUCGAAGAAAGAAAACCCGUACAGCCACUCUUGCCAACUACCAAGUGGACUCCAAUUUGGGCGACAAUAACGGUAAAGUGUAAAGGACAACCAAACUCGAUCUGUUUUCAGAUCCAAAUCAUGGAAAUGGAGGAACGUGAACUGCGACGAAAUCGCUUACGGUACUGUUACUGUCGUUAAUGGAGCCCCAUGAAGAAGUUUUAUGACGCAAGAGUCGUCGAAGUUCCUCGCUUGUGCAGUUCAGGGGCAGUCAAGAGACAACUUGAAUGAGAUACCAAGGAAGUCUCUGAAGUAGUCGAGACAAACAGAAGAAGAAGAAGAACAGUGCAGCUGUUAAAGCCCGGAGAGAGGCAUGUGUCUAAAAAUGCUUCCUUCCUCAAAGCUGCAGCUGACUUUGUGUGCAAUGAUGAUUUGGAAGACUCUGAACCUUUAUGUAAUAGUGGCCAGGUAGUCAUGAUAUACUUAUUACAGCAUCAGCAUGGUGCAUA
Corticium candelabrum is the source of this 625-nucleotide long non-coding RNA. RefSeq lists it as uncharacterized. The transcript has 5 exons. NCBI's taxonomy places the organism in Eukaryota, Metazoa, Porifera, Homoscleromorpha, Homosclerophorida, Plakinidae. The record is from RefSeq and is a predicted model, not a curated record.